UGGGGAAUUUUGGACAAUGGGCGAAAGCCUGAUCCAGCAAUGCCGCGUGUGUGAAGAAGGCCUUCGGGUUGUAAAGCACUUUUGUCCGGAAAGAAAUCCUUGGCUCUAAUACAGUCGGGGGAUGACGGUACCGGAAGAAUAAGCACCGGCUAACUACGUGCCAGCAGCCGCGGUAAUACGUAGGGUGCAAGCGUUAAUCGGAAUUACUGGGCGUAAAGCGUGCGCAGGCGGUUUGCUAAGACCGGUGUGAAAUCCCCGGGCUCAACCUGGGAACUGCAUUGGUGACUGGCAGGCUAGAGUAUGGCAGAGGGGGGUAGAAUUCCACGUGUAGCAGUGAAAUGCGUAGAGAUGUGGAGGAAUACCGAUGGCGAAGGCAGCCCCCUGGGCCAAUACUGACGCUCAUGCACGAAAGCGUGGGGGAGCAAACAGGAUUAGAUACCCUGGUAGUCCACGCCCUAAAACGAUGUCAACUAGUUGUUGGGGAUUCAUUUCCUUAGUAACGUAGCUAACGCGUGAAGUUGACCGCCUGGGGAGUACGGUCGCAAGAUUAAAACUCAAUGAAUUGACGGGGUCAUAGCUGUUUCCU
This 586-nucleotide ribosomal RNA is filed under the name uncultured bacterium. RNAcentral's name for it is "partial 16S ribosomal RNA". It matches the Rfam family "Bacterial small subunit ribosomal RNA", at positions 355 to 1375 of the family's 1533-position model. The record is from RNAcentral.